This 529-nucleotide ribosomal RNA is filed under the name uncultured bacterium. Its description in RNAcentral is "bacterial SSU rRNA". It matches the Rfam family "Bacterial small subunit ribosomal RNA", at positions 791 to 1320 of the family's 1533-position model. The record is from RNAcentral.
UAGUCCACGCCGUAAACGAUGGAUACUAGGUGUCCGGGAAGUUAACCUCCUGGGUACUACAGCUAACGCGUUAAGUAUCCCGCCUGGGGAGUACGGUCGCAAGGCUAAAACUCAAAGGAAUUGACGGGGGCCCGCACAAGCGGUGGAGUAUGUGGUUUAAUUCGAAGCAACGCGCAGAACCUUACCUACCCUUAACAUUUCACGCUCGCCUCAGAGAUGAGGUUUUCUCUUCGGAGACGUGAGGAUAGGUGCUGCAUGGCUGUCGUCAGCUCGUGUCGUAAGAUGUCUGGUUAAGUCCAAUAACGAGCGCAACCCUUAUCCUUAGUUACCAGCAUUGAGUUGGGGACUCUAGGGAGACUGCCGGUGUUAAACCGGAGGAAGGCGGGGAUGACGUCAAGUCCUCAUGGCCCUUACGGGUAGGGCUACACACGUACUACAAUGGCAGAAACAAACCGAAGCGAUAUUGCGAGAUGGAGCUAAACGGUAAAACACUGUCUCAGUCCGGAUUGAAGUCUGCAACUCGACUUCA